GACGUAGGGUGCAAGCGUUGUCCGGAAUUAUUGGGCGUAAAGAGCUCGUAGGCGGCUUGUCACGUCGGGUGUGAAAGCCCGGGGCUUAACCCCGGGUCUGCAUUCGAUACGGGCUAGCUAGAGUGUGGUAGGGGAGAUCGGAAUUCCUGGUGUAGCGGUGAAAUGCGCAGAUAUCAGGAGGAACACCGGUGGCGAAGGCGGAUCUCUGGGCCAUUACUGACGCUGAGGAGCGAAAGCGUGGGGAGCGAACAGG
This 253-nucleotide ribosomal RNA is filed under the name uncultured bacterium. Its description in RNAcentral is "partial 16S ribosomal RNA". It matches the Rfam family "Bacterial small subunit ribosomal RNA", at positions 524 to 776 of the family's 1533-position model. The record is from RNAcentral.